GGACCUCCCAGGCUCAAGCAGUCCUCCCAGCUCAGCCUUCCAAGUAGCUGGGACCACAGGUGCGCACCACCACGCACAGCUAAUUUUUGUAUUUUUAGUAGAGACGGGGUUCCACCAUGUUGCCCAGGCUGGUCUCGAACUCCUGGGCUCAAGUGAUCCACCCACCUCCGCCUCCCAAAGUGCUAGGAUUACAGCCAUGAGAGCCACUGCGCCCUGCCUAUUUUCUGAUACAAUUGAAAGCUUUACCAUAAAAGUAGAGGUUUAACUGCCUACAAAUGAAUUAUGCAUAUAUUUACAGGAACUUUGGCUUCUUGCCUGUUAGUUGAAGAAUAAUAAAAAUGGACUGUGCGGAAGUUAUCGGAGUGCCUGCUGCUCUUCUAGUCAGCUUAGAAAGAGCCGCGCAGGGAAUCUCUGCUUUCAUUAGUCUUUUCUUCUCUUGCAUGUUUUGAUUUUUGUGUCUUCUCGUGAUUUGCCAUGAUAUCUUAAUGAGAGGACACAGUCCCUGGAUUGCUGAGGCAGUUCACACUGGCCAUCUGUGCUUCUCAGAGCAAGGGGAAGGUGUUCAGAGCGAUGACCCAAGGUGGCCCUUGCCCUCAGGGAACCAGCGGGCCCGGAGUCACAGCGGUGUUCUAGCUUCAGCCCCUCUAAGCCACAGAGAGUUACCACCAGGGCCACUCCCUCUUCAGAACACUGGGGAGCCCGUUGCCUGUCAGACAGCCUGAGCCCAGCCAGCCAGCCCAGCCCCUCCAGGGUACCCCCUCUCCAUGGCCCGGGGCUACACACAUGACCUUGGCCGUUACUCCAUGGUCAGUCUCAGCUCUCUCUGGGUGGCACCCAUGGGGUUUAGUUUCCAGCUGCCAGCUGUAAUCUCGGCUCAUUACCGCACACAGAGACCACUUCUUGGACAUUCCCGUCCUCUGUCUGGUCCAGCGCCCUGCUGCCUCUGCUCCUCAAGUGUUUCCUGAACUGCCCUGGCUCAAGCCGUCCUUAUCUAAAAAAAAAAAA
This 1005-nucleotide long non-coding RNA is filed under the name Homo sapiens (human). RNAcentral describes it as "non-protein coding lnc-DYNC1H1-7:1". Lineage: Eukaryota; Metazoa; Chordata; Mammalia; Primates; Hominidae. The record is from RNAcentral.